GAAAUGCGAUAAGUAAUGUGAAUUGCAGAAUUCAGUGAAUCAUCGAAUCUUUGAACGCACCUUGCGCUCCUUGGUAUUCCUUGGAGCAUGCCUGUUUGAGUAUCAUGAAAUCUUCAAAGUAAAUCUUUUGUUAACUCAAUUGGUUUCUACUUUGGUAUUGGAGGUCUUUGCAGCUUCACACCUGCUCCUCUUUGUUCAUUAGCUGGAUCUCAGUGUUAUGUUGGUUCCACUCGGCGUGAUAAGUUAUCUAUCGCUGAGGACACUGUAAAAGGUGGCCAAGGUAAAUGCAGAUGAACCGCUUCUAAUAGUCCAUUGACUUGGACAAUACUUUUAUGAUCUGAUCUCAAAUCAGGUAGGACUACCCGCUGAACUUAAGC
Molecule: unclassified non-coding RNA, 377 nt
Filed under: plant metagenome
Description: partial contains 5.8S ribosomal RNA, internal transcribed spacer 2, and large subunit ribosomal RNA
Rfam family: 5.8S ribosomal RNA (bases 1-105)
Source: RNAcentral